CUGAACUGUUGACAUGGGUUGUUGCUGGUCCUCAAAUGGGGGCAUGUGCACGCUCUGUUCACACAUCCACUCACACCUGUGCACCUUCUGUAGUUCUAUGGGCUGGGGGACCUGUCCUCCUUCUGUAGCUCUACACCUUUACACACACACCGUAACAAAGUCUUGUGGAAUGUAUGCCGCGUUUAACGCAAUAUAAUACAACUUUCAGCAACGGAUCUCUUGGCUCUCGCAUCGAUGAAGAACGCAGCGAAAUGCGAUAAGUAAUGUGAAUUGCAGAAUUCAGUGAAUCAUCGAAUCUUUGAACGCACCUUGCGCCCCUUGGUUAUUCCGAUGGGCAUGCCUGUUUGAGUAUCAUGAACACCUCAACUCUUGUGGUUUCCCACAAUGAGCUUGGACUAUGGGGGUUUUUGUUGGCCUUCUGGUCAGCUCCUCUCAAAUGUAUCAGCUUACCGGUGUUUGGUGGCAUCAUGGGUGUGAUAACUAUCUACGCUUGUGGUUGUCUCCAAAUAACCUCCAGUGAUGGGGGUUCGCUGGAGCUUAUAAAUGUCUCUCCCCAGUGAAGACAACCUUUGAACG
RNAcentral lists this small RNA (576 nucleotides) under uncultured Tomentella. RNAcentral describes it as "eukaryotic LSU rRNA". The stretch from base 200 to 354 matches the Rfam family "5.8S ribosomal RNA". The record is from RNAcentral. Lineage: Eukaryota; Fungi; Basidiomycota; Agaricomycetes; Thelephorales; Thelephoraceae.